CGCGUAGGCGGUUUGAUCAGUCGGAUGUGAAAGCCCCGGGCUCAACCUGGGAACUGCAUUCGAUACUGUCAAACUAGAGUAUGGUAGAGGGAAGUGGAAUUCCAGGUGUAGCGGUGAAAUGCGUAGAUAUCUGGAGGAACAUCAGUGGCGAAGGCGACUUCCUGGACCAAUACUGACGCUGAGGUGCGAAAGCGUGGGGAGCAAACA
Molecule: ribosomal RNA, 207 nt
Filed under: uncultured bacterium
Lineage: Bacteria
Description: partial 16S ribosomal RNA
Rfam family: Bacterial small subunit ribosomal RNA
Source: RNAcentral